Patiria miniata (bat star) is the source of this 328-nucleotide long non-coding RNA. RefSeq lists it as uncharacterized. NCBI's taxonomy places the organism in Eukaryota, Metazoa, Echinodermata, Asteroidea, Valvatida, Asterinidae. The record is from RefSeq and is a predicted model, not a curated record. The transcript is spliced from 3 exons.
CGUGGAGAAUUGUAGCCAAUACACUACGUGCGAAACGUGUAUUGGGACUGAUGCAGGGAAUGAUGGAGACCCAUAUUGUGGAUGGUGCACUCUGGAACGAAGAUGUACGACAUAUUCAGACUGUCCAUCAGCUGAUGUCUCUACUCGAUGGUUGGCCUACAAUGCUGCUCAGUGCAUUGAUAUUACUGAUGUAGCUCCCUAUGAUAACCUGCCAAUUACAGUCACUGAGCAACAGAUCACCCUGACUGUGCAGCAGUUACCUGAUCUAGGGACAGGCCAGAGUUAUGCAUGUCAUUUCGGGUCAUUCGAAUCUCCAGCUACGAAGAAU